UUAAAAAAAUCUGAUCACACAAUUGCAAUAUUAGACGUAACCUUACUGUGUACCAAAUGCCAUUAUAUUACAAUAAGAUCCCUUUGUUAUGAUAGUUUACCUUACAACACUUAAAGUACAUGUAAAUCUUCUAUGUAUUUAACAUAUCUUUGAAUUUUGGCUCUUAGAGUAAACUUGAUCAAUUAAGGGCUGUAUGCAAGUUGAAAAUUGUCCAGUAAAUGUAUCCCUGUUAAUCAGUAGUGUUUUGUUGUAAGAUGUCAAUUCGGUCCCUCUAUCUUUGUAUUCCCCCAGUUAGAAAAAAGACAGCAAGGGUAAUAUGAUACUACAAACAGAUAAGACAGACUCUGGUUCAGAGUGAGUCAGAAAUUUUGAAAAUAAUGAUAAUAAUCGCGAGGUGUUUGCAAGACUUGUUACUGUGGCUUGAAAAUUUGAAAUGUAGUUUCAAAGCAAUGUUUGGACUUUUUCAUUUGAAGUUUUGAUAAUAUGAUGAAAUAACUUACUUUGAUGAACAUUCUGAAAUAAUUAAGUAAACUGUCUGUACAAAUCAACAUUCUGUGUGUAAAAAGCUGAAAAGAGUGAUUCAGUGAGUUAUGAUGGACCUUUGUUGAAUGCUCUGAACUACUGAACAGGGUAAACUCUUGCCCCAAGGCACAAUUUACGCUGAACAGAAGAUCCUAAGGAUAGUGUGCACAUCGGCUGCCAAAAAUGGAGCAAAAGGGGGAUGUUACCUCAUGAUGUAUGGACUUUUAGACAAGGUUUUUACCCUGCACAAGUUUGCCAGCUCAAAGGGAACAGGAGAGAGAAAACCGCAUCCUGGUGUUGAGCAUAUACCUGUCAUUGACCAAGACAAGCUGGAUUUGUUGAGAGAGAUCAUGCAGGGGCAGUACAAGGUAAAACCUGUGCAAGUGCGAGAGAAGAUCCGCAACCUGCUGAAACACAGCAAAUUAAAAAAAACAGUUUUAAAAAAUGAUGGGAGUUCUAUACUAAAAUCAGUACCCUGGUGCACAUGUGUUCAUAUUGUGACAUAAAUAUUAAAAUAACUACUGUGUCAAAACACGUUUUAAGAAUUUCCAUUUAUCAUUGUUUCUUUUGUUUCUUGCAUAUAGUUUUUAGCUCGGUUGUUUUCGGAGAAAACCCGAAGUAUUGUCGUGUCGUCCGCCAUAAGCGUCGUGCUAAAACCUUAACAUUGGCUCUUAAAUCAAAGUGCUUCCAGGUCAAAGGUCAAGAUCACUGUGACCGCUAAAAAAAUAUUCUGACAAGCUUUCAUUUCUUCUCAAAACUGCACCCGCAGCCGAGCGUUGGCAUCCGUUAUGCGGUGUUCUUGUUACAAGGUUUGUGACUGUACAUUACUGGACUUAUUUGUAUUUGUAUUGCUUUGAAUACUCUUUUUGAGGGUAGUAUACUGUUAUUUUGCUUCGUUUUAUUGUUUAAGUAAAGACAGGCGUGUUCUUCUAUGUAAUGGCAAGUUUUUUUUUAAUAAUGGACCUAGAAGAUGUGUAUGCAUGUAUUCAGUUUUGUAGACCAGGAAUUUAUUUUUCCUUUCCAGUGACCAUGGUAUAAGCUGGACAAUUUUCCAUGUUAUACCAGGCAACCAUGGAAUAUUAAACAUGGAAAACCCUGGAACAUUUUCCAGGGUUUUCCAGCCAGCAUGGAAAAAAUACCGUCCGAAUACUACAUGUUAUCUGGAAAACCAGGGAAUUUUCCAUGGUUUUCCAGAUUCCAUGGAGUAUUCGGACGGUAUUUUUUCCUUGCUGGCUGGAAAAUCCUGGAAAAUGUUCCAGGUUUUCCCUUUCAGGCUGGAAAUUGUUCCAGGCUAUUUCCGCAUAACAUGGACAAUUUUCCACCGUUUUUUUUUUAUAAAUAUUGACGCUGGAAAAGGCUGGAAACUUAGUCCGAAUACUCCAGCCCCAUAUUUUCCAUUUAUUUCCAUGAAAAACCCUGGACAAUGUACGCCCGGGUCUUGACAAUAUUUGAAUUAACCAAGAUUAAUUGAUUUUUUAGAAAAAAAAAGCAAAUUGUUGGAAAAUUGCUGUUUUACUUAUUUAUUGUUGUGUCUUACAUUCAAAUUAUUUUAAUGAUAUCAGCUUAAUUGACUGUAUCUUUUUUUUAAUGGUAUCUAUGCCCGAUCUUUAAUUUUUUAUUCAAGUUUGAUUUAAUUUUACGACCAUCUAGACUAUUUACUGCGUGAAUACUUGAUGUGAUUAUAGAAAAGAAUGAAUGACAGUAGUGUUGUUUAUGAUGUGACUUAAGUAAAAAUUAAUGGUUUUCGUUGUAAAAAAAUAAUGCUGAAAUGCAGUAAUGUAAAAUGUGAUAGUUUAUAUAUUCAUUUAUUCAAUAAACAUGAUGUGUAGACGCAAAUGAGCAAAACAGUACUGCAAUAAUACAUAUUGCAGGCCAGAAAAAGUUUGAAAAAUAAAAUAAAAGACGCUGUUACAGUCUUCUAAGAAAUAUAUUUCAACCACUAGCCCGAAUCAUUAUGCCUGAUAGAGAUCUAUUGCAUCUUUUAUAUCAUAAACGGGCCAGUGUGCUAAUAGGUGAAUUAAAGCAUGUAGGUUUCUGUUCUAUAAAGUUAAGUCUAUUUAGUUUGUACAGGACUUCCGUUAAUUUUUGAAAACAUGAAGUAUUAACAUUCUGGCUUCUGAUUUGUGAAGUUUUGCUCAUAAUAUUUGGAAGUUUGGACAGAGUGAGACUCAAAACAUGUAUGUCUUGAGCAUCUCAAAGUUGAAAUACUUGAAAAUGAAGCUAAUUUUAGCUCUUUCAACUAGUGAUUUUUGUCAAUAAUAAAACAAAUCAGAGAAACAGAUGACUUUUUUAGUUUUAUAUUAAAAAAGAAAUCACUUAUAAUGUCAUCUAAUAUGGUCACUUAUAACUAUUAAAAUAAUUAAACUUCCAUAGCUGCAAUUUUCAA
Dreissena polymorpha is the source of this 2908-nucleotide long non-coding RNA. RefSeq lists it as uncharacterized. NCBI's taxonomy places the organism in Eukaryota, Metazoa, Mollusca, Bivalvia, Myida, Dreissenidae. The transcript is spliced from 3 exons. The record is from RefSeq and is a predicted model, not a curated record.